UACGUAGGGUGCAAGCGUUGCCCGGAAUUAUUGGGCGUAAAGAGCUCGUAGGCGGUUUGUCGCGUCUGGUGUGAAAAUCCAGGGCUUAACCCUGGACCUGCAUCGGGUACGGGCAGACUAGAGUGCGGUAGGGGAGAUCGGAAUUCCUGGUGUAGCGGUGAAAUGCGCAGAUAUCAGGAGGAACACCGGUGGCGAAGGCGGAUCUCUGGGCCGUAACUGACGCUGAGGAGCGAAAGCAUGGGGAGCGAACAGG
This 253-nucleotide ribosomal RNA is filed under the name uncultured bacterium. Its description in RNAcentral is "partial 16S ribosomal RNA". It matches the Rfam family "Bacterial small subunit ribosomal RNA", at positions 524 to 776 of the family's 1533-position model. The record is from RNAcentral.